UACGUAGGGUGCGAGCGUUGUCCGGAAUUAUUGGGCGUAAAGAGCUUGUAGGCGGUUUGUCGCGUCUGCUGUGAAAUUUCGGGGCUCAACCCCGAACUUGCAGUGGGUACGGGCAGACUAGAGUGUGGUAGGGGAGACUGGAAUUCCUGGUGUAGCGGUGAAAUGCGCAGAUAUCAGGAGGAGCACCGAUGGCGAAGGCAGGUCUCUGGGCCAUAACUGACGCUGAGAAGCGAAAGCAUGGGGAGCGAACAGG
RNAcentral lists this ribosomal RNA (253 nucleotides) under uncultured bacterium. RNAcentral's name for it is "partial 16S ribosomal RNA". It matches the Rfam family "Bacterial small subunit ribosomal RNA", at positions 524 to 776 of the family's 1533-position model. The record is from RNAcentral.